UGCAGCGGAUCCGCAUGGAUAUGUUGUUAAAGGUUUACCGCCUUGGGAUAGGCUUGCGUCUGAUUAGCUAGUUGGUGUGGUAAUGGCACACCAAGGCUACGAUCAGUAACUGGUCUGAGAGGAUGAUCAGUCACACUGGAACUGAGACACGGUCCAGACUCCUACGGGAGGCAGCAGUGAGGAAUAUUGGGCAAUGCACGAAAGUGUGACCCAGCAACGCCGCGUGGAGGAUGAAGGUAUUCUAUUAUCGUAAACUCCUGUGAGAGCAGACGAAAGACAGAUUAUUAAUUUGGAUGACUGUAUGCUCAGAGGAAGCCCCGGCUAACUACGUG
This 332-nucleotide ribosomal RNA is filed under the name uncultured bacterium. RNAcentral's name for it is "bacterial SSU rRNA". It matches the Rfam family "Bacterial small subunit ribosomal RNA", at positions 173 to 507 of the family's 1533-position model. The record is from RNAcentral.